GGUUGUAGCUCAGUGGUAGAGCACUUGCCUAGCACAUGUGAGGCACUGGGUUUGAUCCUCAGCAGCACA
RNAcentral lists this transfer RNA (69 nucleotides) under Marmota monax (woodchuck). RNAcentral's name for it is "tRNA.Ala". The record is from RNAcentral. Lineage: Eukaryota; Metazoa; Chordata; Mammalia; Rodentia; Sciuridae.